UUCAGCAAUGGAUCUUAGUGGCGAACGGGUGAGUAACGCGUAGGCAAUCUGCCUUCUAGAUGGGGACAACAUCCCGAAAGGGGUGCUAAUACCGAAUGUUGUAGUUGGUUCGCAUGGACUAGCUACUAAAGGUGGCCUCUGAAUAUGCUACCGCUAGAAGAUGAGCCUGCGUCUGAUUAGCUAGUUGGAGGGGUAACGGCCCACCAAGGCUUCGAUCAGUAGCCGGUCUGAGAGGAUGAACGGCCACACUGGGACUGAGACACGGCCCAGACUCCUACGGGAGGCAGCAGUGGGGAAUCUUCCGCAAUGGACGAAAGUCUGACGGAGCAACGCCGCGUGAGUGAAGAAGGUUUUCGGAUCGUAAAGCUCUUUCGUUAGGGACGAACGUGCUCUUUGUGAAUAAUGAGGAGUAAUGACGGUACCUAAAUAAGAAGCCACG
RNAcentral lists this ribosomal RNA (439 nucleotides) under uncultured Anaeromusa sp. RNAcentral describes it as "partial 16S ribosomal RNA". It matches the Rfam family "Bacterial small subunit ribosomal RNA", at positions 75 to 495 of the family's 1533-position model. Lineage: Bacteria; Bacillati; Bacillota; Negativicutes; Selenomonadales; Sporomusaceae. The record is from RNAcentral.